Molecule: long non-coding RNA, 1345 nt
Filed under: Lepidothrix coronata (blue-crowned manakin)
Lineage: Eukaryota; Metazoa; Chordata; Aves; Passeriformes; Pipridae
Description: lncRNA (ENSLCOG00000004588.1)
Source: RNAcentral
AUGAGACCUGCUGCCAGGAGACUGGAGGCUGUGGGACUGUGCCAGACCUUUCAGGGUCUCACACGCUUUGAGACCUCCCUUCACCUGCCUCGACAUGAGAAUGAAAAGCCCAGUCCUGAAAGUUUAUCCCCGAACCCCACAAGAAGCUGCCCUGCUGAGCAAACAGCUCCAUCCCAGCACCAUGAGUACUGCAGCCUCACACAUCAGGGACACCUCUGCUGGCCCCCUCAAGUGACCCCUGCAGAAAGAGCACCAGGAAGGAGAUGCAGCCCCUUUCCACUGCGAGCCUGGCCAUGGAUACCCCCCAUCUCCAUUUCCAGGGUUGAGGGGGAUGUUUCUCCAUGGCCCUCAGCAAUGUCCAACCUGUACCUAAGGACAAGGACCUCAGCUGCUACAUCCAGAGGGAUGGAGAACAUAUUUCAGGCCAUAACCUCCAUCCCCACCACCAAGAAAUCCUUACCUAUGUCAAUAAAUAAAUACAUAAACACAUCCUUCGAGCCGCCUCUCUCUCUCUCUAACAUCCUCUGUCUGCUACUCUGGCACUGGACACUCCUUGAUCUCUCACCUAGAACACCAAAAAAGUUACAAUUACAGAGAGGAGGUGAAGGAGAGAGACCCAUUACCUCCAUACUUAUCCCCAGAUCCCUCCCCACAUCCCCCAAGCAUCAGGGCACUGCCUCUUCUGCCAGGUUUGCUCUACUGUGGCCGGCUGGCCCGGCCUGGGAGACCCAAGACCUGAACAAAGACCAACACCACCUUCUCUGCCUGUGCCCAGCUGUCCAGUCCCCACACCCUCAGUACCCCAUCGUUUACUUGGCACGUGCCACAAAGCCUGAAUGUGGUUCUUCCCUUACCCCUCACCGGUAUCGCUCGGACACUGCACGUCACACCUCGAGGCAACUCCUUCCCAUCCCUUUUGCUCUCUCCCUCUUCUCCCUGCUCAUCUCCUGGGUGGCACAAACGUAUCGUAGGGUCAAGAAAUAAAAAACCCACACAAAACUGUCCUGCCAUCACUAACAAUCAACUUCUGAUCCUACAAAUGUGCUGGAUGGUUUGAAGCAGCCGGCACCCCGAGGCUGAGGACCAAAUGCACUAAGCAACCUGCAAAUCACCAAAACACCAAGACACCGACCAAGACAAGCCCCUGGAGACAGCAAGUUUCACCUGCACCCAAACUCUGUCCUGCCAUGCUUUGCCUGUAGAGUGUUUCACGAGCAACCUGGUUUCCUACACCCACCUCACAUGGCUGUCUCUCCUUCCCACGCGGGAUUCGCUUCGACUGCUCCACGAACAUCCCCUGCAACGCUGUGCUGCUGGGGCAGAGAGCCAAACAAUGAGCUUUUGG